Cloeon dipterum is the source of this 769-nucleotide long non-coding RNA. RefSeq lists it as uncharacterized. The transcript has 4 exons. The record is from RefSeq and is a predicted model, not a curated record. Lineage: Eukaryota; Metazoa; Arthropoda; Insecta; Ephemeroptera; Baetidae.
AGGCGGCAGUGGCAGGACUGGCUAUAGGAGCGAUUAACAAAUUCCUGCUCCGCUCUCGCUAUGUCUUAAACGUCAACAACUGCCGUUAAUUACAUAAGUAUUAAUCGACUAAGGACGCUGCUAAAUAAAGAGAACAGUGCACGAAGUUACGGAUUCGGACUCGGACGGACUUCCGGGAAGCCUGGAUCCUGCGGAGUAUCGUUAUCUCUGCCGACUUUUGUGACACCACAACCUUGAAUCCCGUCAUUGGACAUCAUAUUUUAUGGCCAUUAAACUUGAGGAGUGCAUUUUGAAACCCUGCUCCCGUGGACUCGCUGGACGGUGAUCGCACCAUAAAUAAAACUCCCAACUUGUAUUCUCAUCUUGAUCAACAGCGUUAUCUCUGCCGACUUUUGUGACACCACAACCUUGAAUCCCGUCAUUGGACAUCAUAUUUUAUGGCCAUUAAACUUGAGGAGUGCAUUUUGAAACCCUGCUCCCGUGGACUCGCUGGACGGUGAUCGCACCAUAAAUAAAACUCCCAACUUGUAUUCUCAUCUUGAUCAACAGAUAAGGAAAAUGACGUCAAUAAGCAGGGAUUUUGCUGUCUUUAUGUUCAGAGCUGAAAAGGAAAUUGUUUGUGUGCCAAAGACAUACUUAAAAGGAGAGACUCGCUGUGCUUGGCCGCUAAACUGCAAGAGCUUCUUAGAUUUUAAAUCUGUCAUCAAAAAGCAUCCUUCUCCACCAAGAGAUUCGAAUUGGAAUUACUUUGAGGGCAAAAUUAUUCGAA